This is an RNA transcript of Nymphaea colorata (pocket water lily), 1371 nucleotides long. RefSeq lists it as uncharacterized. NCBI's taxonomy places the organism in Eukaryota, Viridiplantae, Streptophyta, Magnoliopsida, Nymphaeales, Nymphaeaceae. The record is from RefSeq and is a predicted model, not a curated record. The transcript is spliced from 6 exons.
GUUGUUGCGUCACCACCUGGUUAGAGUGGACUCCCAUGCGUCCCUGCUCUCCCUUUUCUGCCGCCUUCGCUCCGUCUCCUCCCGCUCUCUUCACUGUCGGCUACAAUCUCAGCAAUAAGAAGGAAAUGGUGGGAUCGAACCUGAAGGAGGAGACUAUGUCGCUGAUGAAGCGGCGGGAACUCAUUGAAGAGGAGAUGAACGCCAUCAUCUCCCGCCUGACCGCUCCCGGUGCCCCCGGAAUCUCGGGCAAUCUCCUCGACUCCGAGGGGUUUCCAAGAGCAGACAUUGAUAUAAUGGCCAUCCGGUCAGAUCGCCAUCGACUUGCAGAAUUGCGUAAUGAUCAUAGAAAUCUAACUUCAGAAAUUGAAAAGAGCUUGCAAGUUCUGCAUUCAGCAAGAAGUAGUUCUAGUUUGGCAGUUCCCUCUGAAAAAUCAGCUGCCAGUGAGGAGACAAACCCUGUAGCUUCAUGUGCAUCUGCUGUUUCAUCUGGCUUAACUGAUCAUGUCAUUUCUGAGGUUUCUUCAGAUGCCAUGGAAGAGGAUCCAGUUAGUAGGGUGCCCUUCGCUGUUGUUGAUGAAAUAGCCAGUGAUUCACCUGCUGCUGAAGAUGGAAUCCAACUUGGUGACCAGAUACUGAAGUUUGGGAAUGUGGAAGGUGGUGGUCAAUCAUUGCUUCCAAGACUUGCUACUGAAGCUCAAUCAAACCAGGGUAACCCAGUACCACUGAUCAUCAUACGCCAGGGGGCGGUCAUCAAUUUGAUAGUGACACCUAGACCAUGGCACGGACGUGGAUUGUUGGGUUGCCACUUCAGAAUCCUGUGAUGUUCUCAGUAGUCAGUACCGGUCCGAAGAUUGGCAUAGCAUGUUCUGUGGUCUAUUUAGUUGUUGAUGACUGUGGGCUGUGGUGCGAAUUUUCCUUUCAUCCUCCAUGGGUUCCUCCAAGCCUCCUUCUGAGACAACUGUUUACUGCAAUUGGAUAACGGUUGAAACUCCAAGUUAAUUUACACAAGAACUCCAGCCUUGCUGCCAAUGUUCGCUUUGGAACAAAUGUUACUGUGUUACUGCAAUGGGAUAACGGUUGAACUACAAUGCAUCUCCAAGUUAAUGUACACAAUUUACACAAGUCCUGGCUGUGAUCUGCACACCUUUGUGUGUGUGUAUAUAUAUAUAUAUAUGAAUCGUGACUGUGCCUCUCCAGUACGUAUGGAGACAUCAAACUAAGAGCGUCCCUCAUUUUGAUCGGACGGUCAAAAAGAUAUUUCUUUUACAUCUGGAGCACCCUUGCUCCUCAUGCUGCUGCCCUUGCUGCCUGCGGCAGGCAUGCUGCUGCCCUCGCUGCCUGCGGCAGGCAAAGAUUCUGUCUUGCCCCUUA